GGAAAGAUGGCAGAGUGGUUGAUUGCAACGAUCUCGAAAAUCGUAAUAGUUUGAAAAGACUAUCAGGGGUUCAAAUCCCCUUCUUUCCG
RNAcentral lists this transfer RNA (89 nucleotides) under Cyanophora biloba. RNAcentral's name for it is "tRNA-Ser". It matches the Rfam family "tRNA". From Rfam's summary of the family: Transfer RNA (tRNA) molecules are approximately 80 nucleotides in length. The record is from RNAcentral. Lineage: Eukaryota; Glaucocystophyceae; Cyanophorales; Cyanophoraceae.